GACGAACGCUGGCGGCGUGCUUAACACAUGCAAGUCGUACGGUAAGGCCCUUUCGGGGGUACACGAGUGGCGAACGGGUGAGUAACACGUGAGUAACCUGCCCACAACUUUGGGAUAACGCUAGGAAACUGGUGCUAAUACUGGAUAUGUGCUCCUGCUGCAUGGUGGGGGUUGGAAAGAUCCGGCGGUUGUGGAUGGACUCGCGGCCUAUCAGCUUGUUGGUGGGGUAGUGGCCUACCAAGGCGGCGACGGGUAGCCGGCCUGAGAGGGUGACCGGCCACAUUGGGACUGAGAUACGGCCCAGACUCCUACGGGAGGCAGCAGUGGGGAAUAUUGCACAAUGGGCGCAAGCCUGAUGCAGCAACGCCGCGUGCGGGAUGACGGCCUUCGGGUUGUAAACCGCUUUCAGCAGGGACGAAGCUUUUUGUGACGGUACCUGCAGAAGAAGCACCGGCUAACUACGUG
RNAcentral lists this ribosomal RNA (465 nucleotides) under uncultured bacterium. RNAcentral's name for it is "partial 16S ribosomal RNA". It matches the Rfam family "Bacterial small subunit ribosomal RNA", at positions 28 to 507 of the family's 1533-position model. The record is from RNAcentral.